CAUCUUUUUCAACUCGAGAAAAAAAAUUCCCCUACCGGCACAUCAAGACCCACCGGCGAAGCUUCACCAUCAUCCACGUACGAGCACUUUCGGUUCAGAUUCAUCCUUGGUCCCCGUUGAACUCACCAUCAUCCACGUACAGACCCACCAUAUGUAAUAGCCAACCUUGUGAUAUAUCUGGAUUUUGGGGGAUUCUUCCAUAAUUCCAUUCAUGCCAAUAGCAGAUGUGGUAAUUGACUAAGCUUCUGGUUAUGAGGUCCCCUCCUGCAUUUGACUUAUAAGGAAAGUCAUCACAAAUACAAUAGUCAGUGGAAUGGCAUUUGUGUGCGUGAUGUUAGCCGGAUGAAGUAAGACAGGCUCCCUUCACGAGCUAGUCUAAUCAACGAGACGGGCGCCCCUUUACUCCAUUACUGGCCAAGAUGGUUUUGAAAUCUUCUGUCUUUCAAGGAUCGCCACGGUCGUGACACGAAUUUUGACCAUGCGUCAGACCCAUUUCCUCGUCGGUAAAUUCAUAGCUCACCGGCGUCAAUCAUCUUUGCGACCCUAUUGGACGGGCUUGCAGUUUGUAGACCGCCUCCGGGAACUGCGCCGCCAUGCUGUACACCACGAACCAGCCACCGUCUGUGCCAGAACCGUCGCCGCCGCCAGUACCUUCGGCGGCGCCAUAACUCGCCGUCGUUGUUCCACCAUCUUCCUUGUAGCCCGUUGAUCUCCAUCAUGCUUGCUGUCGUUGCUCGUCGAAAAUUGUUAAUGAAACCCAUCGAGAAUUUUUUGGUGUUCUACAACAGCCAUUACAAUGGCCUUUUAGAAAGGUGUAAGAGAAAAAGGAUGUUUGGUUAAAGGUACUUCCUUAUCCUAAACUAGUUUGAGAUUGAAGGAGUUCAAAGUUUGGUAUGGGCAUUUUUGGAAGAGUAAAAGGAUAAAAUUGACAUUAUAGUACUAAUUUAUAUCAAAUUUUUUUAUUGAUGGGAUGUUUUCGCAUAAUGUGAAAAGAAUAUGGGUGUUUUUUGUACACCUUUUCAAAUAAGGGAUAAAAGAGCUACGAAAAAUA
Molecule: long non-coding RNA, 1051 nt
Organism: Cornus florida
Lineage: Eukaryota; Viridiplantae; Streptophyta; Magnoliopsida; Cornales; Cornaceae
Exons: 2
Source: RefSeq, a predicted model, not a curated record